UACGUAGGGUGCAAGCGUUGUCCGGAAUUAUUGGGCGUAAAGAGCUCGUAGGCGGUCUGUCGCGUCGGCUGUGAAAACUCGGGGACUCAACUCCGAGCUUGCAGUCGAUACGGGCAGGCUAGAGUUCGGCAGGGGAGACUGGAAUUCCUGGUGUAGCGGUGAAAUGCGCAGAUAUCAGGAGGAACACCGGUGGCGAAGGCGGGUCUCUGGGCCGUAACUGACGCUGAGGAGCGAAAGCAUGGGGAGCGAACAGG
RNAcentral lists this ribosomal RNA (254 nucleotides) under uncultured bacterium. RNAcentral's name for it is "partial 16S ribosomal RNA". It matches the Rfam family "Bacterial small subunit ribosomal RNA", at positions 524 to 776 of the family's 1533-position model. The record is from RNAcentral.